This 72-nucleotide transfer RNA is filed under the name Tethya citrina. RNAcentral's name for it is "trnM". It matches the Rfam family "tRNA". From Rfam's summary of the family: Transfer RNA (tRNA) molecules are approximately 80 nucleotides in length. Their secondary structure includes four short double-helical elements and three loops (D, anti-codon, and T loops). The record is from RNAcentral. Lineage: Eukaryota; Metazoa; Porifera; Demospongiae; Tethyida; Tethyidae.
GGAUUGAUAGCUUAAGGGUAAAGCAUGUUGCUCAUAACAACAAAGAAGUUGGUUCAAUCCCAUCUCAAUCUA